GGCUUGGUGGCAGAGCGGUCGAUUGCAGAGACCUGCAAAGUCUCACAUAAGAAACGACGUGGGUUCAAAUCCCACCCAAGCCU
This 83-nucleotide transfer RNA is filed under the name Methanobrevibacter sp. Its description in RNAcentral is "tRNA-Cys". It matches the Rfam family "tRNA". Rfam says of the family: Transfer RNA (tRNA) molecules are approximately 80 nucleotides in length. Lineage: Archaea; Methanobacteriati; Methanobacteriota; Methanobacteria; Methanobacteriales; Methanobacteriaceae. The record is from RNAcentral.